This 1483-nucleotide long non-coding RNA is filed under the name Canis lupus familiaris (dog). RNAcentral describes it as "lncRNA (ENSCAFG00845017944.1)". The record is from RNAcentral. Lineage: Eukaryota; Metazoa; Chordata; Mammalia; Carnivora; Canidae.
GCUUCCUAAUACCAUCACAUUGAGGAAUGGGAAUUGAACCUGUGAAUUUUGUGGGGACACAAUCAUUUGGCUCAUAGCAAUCCUCACAGUCAAAUCAGCUUUUAAAAUGUUGAGUUAGCCAGAUAAGGAUUUUAAAUGUUGCUAUUUUUAUACCAGGAUUUUGGCUCUUACAUGUAUUAUAUAACUUUAAGAGGGUGGGAUAUAUCGUAGGCACUAUUUUCCAGAGAUCUUCAACUAUAGAACUCCUUUUCCUACAGAGUAUCCUGAGGAGCUAAUGUCUAGGAAAUGCACUCUGGUGUUGCUGUGUCUUGGCACUGGACAUCUCUAGGGUUUUUUUUUUUUUUUUCCAAUCUCAUUACAGAAGCCCAUUAGUAACUUGGCAUGUGUAUGAGACUACUGCUGUAAGGGGACAUUUCAUAUAUUACUGUGUCUCUUGGGGCUAGAAGCACCUACAGUAUCUCUCAGAAUGCCGAUUGUAUAAUUGGCACUCCAUUGACACUGGAUUUUUGGAAUGAGUGGGCAGAUGGAAGCAUUUUGUUAGCUGAAGCAAGUUUCGUAUAAAGCAAGGCUGCCUAGGAAAUGUGUAUCCAGUAUUACAGACCUGUGAUUCAGGGUAGAGAAAAUCAGACAGUGAAUACUUGUGAACAGACAAGCUGGCAAGCUUUGUUUCAACAAACUCUUCAUAUUAUCACAAAACACAAGAAAACAAAACACCAGACUUCUCUUCCAGAAGAAGCUUCUGCUUGUGUAAAAUGAGUCUAGUGGCUCUGGAGGGAGGGUGCAGGGAGGUGAUAAGGAAAGUAGAAAAAGAGUUGUGAAACAUGAUUCAUUUCUCCUAAGAUUUUUUCCAACUCUCAUUGCCUAAUUUUCCAUACUUCUGUUUGAUCUUACCUACGAGGAUAUCUGCUGAUGGUAGUAUGGAAACGGAGAACCCAUAUAGAGAUAUAUAAGUUGGUCAUUUUGAAAGCUUUUAGAUGAUGUGACUAAAAAGUGGAAGUUUCUGCCAACCUCACACCUUUGCGUGAUUCCAUAAUUUCUUGUUAUGGUUAGCUUGGUAGGCAUGAAAAAAUACCUUCUCUGCUCAGUGAAAUAUUACCAGCUCCCAGAGUGUGUGCUACUUUAGAUGAAGAUAAUAUACAAAAGAUAUUGCCAAAUGUUCUCCUCCAAGAUAGGAACAAAGUGCUUCUGAGACAGAUGCAAUCUCAUUAUAAACAACAACUUGGAUUGGGGAUAUAGAAAACUGAAGUUCCUUUGCAAUGGAUCAUUAAGGCCCUGACCAUAUACAGGUACAUGGAAUUAAUAACUGGUGUUGCUAACGUUUAAGCAUUUAAUUUAGAAGUUUCUUUGCACUUUAAAGAAACAAACAAUCCAAUCAUGAAAUGGGCAAAAGACAUGAAGAGAAAUCUCACAGAGGAAGACAUAGACAUGGCCAACACGCACAUGAGAAAAUGCUCUGCAUCACUUGCCAUCAGGGAAAUACAAA